This 215-nucleotide ribosomal RNA is filed under the name uncultured bacterium. RNAcentral's name for it is "partial 16S ribosomal RNA". It matches the Rfam family "Bacterial small subunit ribosomal RNA", at positions 29 to 230 of the family's 1533-position model. The record is from RNAcentral.
AACGAACGCUGGCGGCGCGCUUAACACAUGCAAGUCGAACGAGAAGCUGUAGCAAUACAGUUGUACAGUGGCGAACGGGUGAGGAAUACAUGGGGUAACCUACCCUCGAGUGGGGAAGUAACCAGCCGAAAGGCUGGCUAAUACCGCGUACGCUUCCCAAUCUGCGGGGUUGGGAAGGAAAGACUCUACCGUGGGUAGAGCGCUCAAGGACGGGC